RNAcentral lists this transfer RNA (67 nucleotides) under Einfeldia sp. Its description in RNAcentral is "tRNA-Ala". It matches the Rfam family "tRNA". Rfam says of the family: Transfer RNA (tRNA) molecules are approximately 80 nucleotides in length. Their secondary structure includes four short double-helical elements and three loops (D, anti-codon, and T loops). The record is from RNAcentral. Lineage: Eukaryota; Metazoa; Arthropoda; Insecta; Diptera; Chironomidae.
AAGGUUGUAGUUAAUUAUAACAUUUGAUUUGCAUUCAAAAAGUAUUGAAAUUUUUCAAUCAUCCUUA